UAUAAAAAAAAUGGAUCUGAUGGAUCCGUUGGAUCCAAUGUAUAUUGGAUUUUAGUUAUAUAAAAAAAAUGGAUCCAUUCGAUCCAUCAGAUCCAUUUUUUUUAUAUA
Non-coding RNA from Paramuricea clavata, 108 nucleotides. The record is from the annotation of a GenBank genome assembly. NCBI's taxonomy places the organism in Eukaryota, Metazoa, Cnidaria, Anthozoa, Malacalcyonacea, Plexauridae.